RNAcentral lists this long non-coding RNA (1391 nucleotides) under Medicago truncatula (barrel medic). RNAcentral describes it as "lncRNA gene39888". Lineage: Eukaryota; Viridiplantae; Streptophyta; Magnoliopsida; Fabales; Fabaceae. The record is from RNAcentral.
CAAGUCCAAACAUUUCCUCAAGUGACAUUCACCAACCUCAUAGCUAGGCAAUGAUUACAUAAGAGAUAAAUUUCACUUAAUUUUAUUUCCUUUUUGUUUUCUUCUUAUUUCGCAUUUUAUUUAUUUUUUGAAUGUGAAACAAUAGUUAUAGCUAGUAGCAAGGUUUUAAAUCAUAGUCGUGGCUUCAUCACAAUCAACACACUUUUAACACAAUCUUUUCAACACACAUUUUUUAAUUGGUUGAAAUUCAAAUGAGUCACACUAAAUCAUGUAGGCUGCACAUAAAUUUAGUGAGACGCAUUUAAAUUUCAAUCAAUUACAGAAUGCACGUUGAGACAAGUGUGUUAGAGAGUAUCUUGUUAGAAUAAUUCUACGAACAAUUGAGGUCAAAUGUAGAUGAUGCAAAUUAAUUUGAGGUCGAGUUGGAGCCUACAGUUACAAAAAGCUCGAUGUGGCAGCCCAGAUAGCAGUCGAUCAAAGAUGACGCUAGUAAUACUCCCAUGACGAAAGUUGCUCCUCGAGGCGAAGUCCACUAUCAACAGCACAUAAAUGCCAAGAAGAAUAAUAAGAAAGAAUUCCAUUUUUUCCAUCAGGAAAAAGAUCUGGAAGAUCAAAGAGUGUGUCAUCAAUAUCAUCAUUUGUAGUAGCAGUUGUAGAUGGAGAACUUGAAUUAGACUCUUGAACAUUAUCAAUGGAAGAAAGAGUUGAAAAUGAAACUUGAUCUUGAUCUUGAUCUUGAUCUUCCUUAAUCUCCUCAAAUACAAUGGCUGCUGCUUUUGCAGCUGCAACUUGAAUGUCCUUAGGUGAUGUAGUCGAAGGCCUCGGAAGAUUUUGAGCCAAAUUAGGGAAAUUGAGGUAAGCUGAAUGACCCUUUAUGGCUAAAGCAGCUACAUCAUGAGCUCUAGCUGCCAUUUCAGCUGUAGGGUAUGUUCCAAGCCAUAUUCUUGACUUCUUUCUUGGCUCACGAAUUUCAGAUACCCAUUUUCCCCAUGCUCUCAUUCUUACACCUCUAUAUGUAGGGUGUUUUGUGUCAUUUUCAUUUCUCUCUCUUUUCUUGGAUUUUUUAUUUCCAUUUUGAGGAUUAUUUUUGGUUUCUAGAUUGGUAGAUGAAUUUGAAUUUGAAUUUGAGUUAGAAGAUGUUGGUGUUGAUGAUGAGGAUGUGCUAAAGAAGUUUUCAUUAGCAUCAUUUUCCAUGUUUUCCUAAGUUAGGGGGUUAUGAUUAGAUUUAGAGAGGUGUAUAGAGAGGAAGAAUGAGUGUGGAAGGUGCAUAAAAAUAGAGUGGAGUGUUUGUAUUUUAUGAUUCUCUAAAAAAAUAAAUUGGAUUUAUAUAAAGAAGAAAGGAAAAGAAUAAAGAAAAGAAAAAGAAACAAAAGCAAAAAAAUUAAGGGAAU